CUGUGGCAUAUGGAGGUUCCCAGGCUAGGGGUUUAGUUGGAGCUGUAGCCUCCAACCUACACCAGAGCCACAGCAAUGCGGGACCUAAGCUGUGUCUGCAACCUACACCACAGCUUACAGCAACACCAGAUCCUUAACCCACUGAGCAAGGCCAGAGAUCGAACCUGCAACCUCAUGGUUCCUAGUCGGAUUUGUUUCUGCUGGGCCACAACGGGGUCUCCUAGUUCUCUGAUUUUGUUCAUCAGUUUUGUAGUUUUGCUUAUAUGUGUUUUAUACAUAUUUUCUUGUAUUUAUACGUAAAAUUUUAUUUUGAGGUGCUAAUACAAUGGUAUGGUGAUUUUCUUUUUUGCUUUUCAGGCCCCACCUGCAGCAUAUGGAGGUUCCCAGGCUAGGGGUCCAAUUGGAGCUACAGCUGCCAGCCUACACCACAACCACAGCAAUGCCAGAUCCAAGCCAAAUCUUUGACUUGCACCACAGCUCAAUGUACUUAUGCAGUGAGACCAGAAAAAUGGAUGAAAGGUAUACAGAUUGGAAAGGAAAAAAUAAAACUAUGUUUGUUUGCAUGUGACAUGAUUAUCUGUGUAGAAAAUCUGAAAGAAGUGACAAUGACAACAAAUCUUUUUACUUCUAGUACAUUGUUGAAAAGGAGCAGUGAAUGGGGGCAUCCCUGCCUUCUUCCUCCUAGUGGAAAGCUCUUCCUCUUCUUCUUUUUCUUUUUCUUUUUUUUUUUUUCCUGUCUCUUGUCUUUUUAGGGCCGCAUCUGUGGCAUGUGCAGGUUCCCAGGCCAGGGGUCGAAUUGGAGCUGGAGCUGCUGGGCCUACACGUACACAGCCACAGCAAUGCCGGAUCUGAACGGCAUCUUCAACCUACACCAUAGCUCAUGGCAACACCGGAUCCUUAACCCUCUGAGCAAGGCCAGGGAUUGAACCUGCAACCUCAAGGUUUCUAGUCGGGUUCAUUUCCGCUGUGCCACGAUGGGAAUUCCAUUCCUCUUCUAUCUUAAUGAUAGAAAACUUCAUUGGUCUGUAGUUUUCUUGUAAUGCCUUUGUUUUGCUUUGGUACUAGGAUAAUGCUGUCCUUAUAAAAUGAGUUAGGAAAUAUUCUUUCUUCUUGCCCCUUUCCUCUUCCCUCUCCCCACUGAUGACUAUUAGUUUGUUUUUUGUAUCUGUGAGUCUCCUUCAUUUUUGUUGUAUUAACUAGUUUAUUUUUCAUAUUCUACCUAUAACUGGUAACAUGCGGUAUUUGUCAUUCUCUGACUUAUUUUAGUAAGCAUAACUCUCUCCAGGUCCAUCCAUGUUGUUACAAAUGGAAAAAUUUCAUUCUUUUUUAUGGCUGAGUACUAAUUCGCUGUAUAUAUACCACAUCUUCUUUAUCCAUUCCUCUGUUGGCAGAUAUUUAGGUUGCUUACAUAACUUUGUUAUUGUGAAUAAUGCUGCUGUGAAUAUUGGAGUGAGUGUAUCUUUUUGAAUUAGUGUUUUCAUUUUAUUUAGAUAUAUACCCAGGAGUGGAAUUACUGGAUCAUAUGGUAGUCCUAUUUUUAGUUUUUUGAGGACCCACCAUACUGUUUUCCACAGUGGCUGUACCAGUUUACAUUCCCACUAACAGUGUACAAGAGUUCCCUUCUCUCCAUGUUCUCACCAACAUUUGUUAUUUAUGUUAUUUUUUUUAUUUUUUUAUUUUUUGUCUUUGGAGCUGAACUGGCAGCAUAUGGAGGUUCCCAGGCUAUGGGUCGAAUCGGAGCUGUAGCUGCUGGCCUACACCACAGCCACAGCAACGCCAGAUCCAAGCUGCAUCUUUGACCUACACCACAGUUCACGGCAAUGCCACAUCCUUAACCCACUGAGCGAGGCCAGGGAUUGAACCUGCAACCUCAUGGUUCCUAAUCGUAUUUGUUUCCGCUGCACCACGAUGGACUCCUGAUAGUUUGUUAUUAAUGUAUAGAAGUGCAGCAGAUUUUUGUAGACUAAUUUUGUAUUGUGCAACUUUACUGAAUUCAUUGAUGAGCUCCAGUCGUGUUUUGGUGAAAUCUUUAGGAUUUCCUAUGUAUAAUAUUAUGUCAUCUGCCCAGAGGGUCUGUUUUACUUUUUCCUUUCCAAUUUGAAUUUGUUUUACUUCUUUUCCUUGUCUGAUUGCUGUGGCUAGGACUUCUAAUACUAUUUUAUUUUUAAUUUUUAUUUUUAUUUUUUGUCUUUUUGCCAUUUUCUUGGGCCACUCUCGCGGCACAUGGAGGUUCCCAGGUCAGGGGUCGAAUCGGAGCUGCAGCCACCAGCCCACGCCAGAGCCACAGCAACGUGGGAUCCGAGCCGCGUCUGCAACCUACACCACAGCUCACGGCAACGCCGGAUCGUCAACCCACUGAGCAAGGCCAGGGAUCGAACCUGCAACCUCAUGGUUCCUAGUCGGGUUCACCAACCACUGCGCCAUGACGGGAACUCCCUAAUACUAUUUUAAAUAGGAGUGGACAUCCUUGUCUGGUUCCUCAUCUUAGAGGAAAUGCUUUCAGUUUUUCACCAUUGAGUAUGGUGCUAUUUGUGGGCUUAUCAUAUAUGGCAUUUGUUAUGUUGAGGUAUGUUCCCUCUGUACCCAUUUUUUUUUUUUUUUGGAGAAUUUGUCUUAUAAAUGGGUGUUGAACUUUGUCAAAAGCUUUUAUGCAUCUAUUGAAAUGAUCAUAUGGUUUUUAUUCACUUUGUGGAUGUGGUGUAUCCUAUGAUUGAUUUGCAGUCAUUGAACUGUCCUUACAUUCCUGAGGUAAAUCCCACUCGAUCAUGGUGUAUGAUCCUUUUAAUGUAUUGUUGGGUUCAAUUUGCUAAUACUUUGUUGAGGAUUUUGGCAUCUAUGUUCAUCAGUGGUAUUGGCCUAUUAAUUUUCUCUUUUUUGUGUGGUGUUUUUGUCUGGUUUUGGUAUUAGGGUGAUGCUGGCCUAACUGAAUGUGUUCAGAAGUGGCAGAAGUGUUCCUUCCUCUGCAGUUUUAUUGGAAUAAUUUGAGAAGGAUAAGUGUUAACUCAUCUCUAAAUGUUCAGCAUUAUUCACCUGUGAAGCAAUCUGGUCCUCAACUUUUUAUUUGUUGGGAAGUUUUUACCUUCUAUUUUUUUUGUCUUUUUGCCUUUUCUAGGGCCACUCCCGUGGCAUAUGGAGAUUCCCAGGCUGGGGGUCUAAUCAGAGCUGUAGCCACUGGCCUACGCCAUAGCCACAGCCACAGCAACGUGGGAUCUGAGCUGCGUCUGCAACCUACACCACAGCUCACAGCAACGCCAGAUCCUUAACCCACUGAGCGAGGCCAUGGAUCAAACCCGCAACCUCAUGGUUCCUAGUCUGAUCCAUUAAACACUGAGCCACGACCAGAACUCCUAGCUUCUGUUUUUUAAUUAUUACUUAUUCAUUACUGGUAAUAGGUCUUUUCAUAUUUUCUACUUCCUCCUGGUUCAGCCUUGGGAGAUUGUACAUUUCUAGGAAUUUGUCCAUCCUUUCUAGGUUGUCCAUUUUAUUGGCAUAUGGUUGUUCAUAGUAAUCUCUUAUGACCCUUUGUAUCAUGUGGUAUUGGUUGUAACUUCUCCUUUUUCAUUUCUGAUUUUAUUGAUUUGGGCCCUUUCUCCUUUUUUUCUUGAUGAGGCUCACCAAAGAUUUAUCAAUUUUGUUUAUCUUUUCAAAGACCCAGCUCUUUUCUCAUUUAUUUCGGCUCUGAUCUUUAUGAUUUCCUUCCGUCUAUUGAUUUUGGGUUUUGUCUUUUUCUAGUUCCCUGAGGUGUAAGGUUAGGUUGUUUAUUUGAAGUAAGCUUGUAUCACUACAGACUUUCCUCAUAGAACUUUUUUGUUAUUUUGGAUCGUUUUCAUUUUCGUUUGUUUCCAGGUUUUUGUGGGGUUUUUUCUUAUUUGAUUUUUUUCAGUGAUCCAUUGUAAUAUAGUUGCAUAUUGUUUGGCCUCCAUGUUUGUGGUUUUUGUAGUCCCUCUCCCACCCGCACCUGCAUCUGCAUGGAUGCUAGUCAGGUUCUUAACUAUUCUACUAAGUCACAACAGGAACUCCAGAAUUCUGCUUUUUAAAAAUUCAUCUGGUUCUGUGUUAUAUGGGGAUGAGCACUUUUAAUAUUAAGACUUUUCAGAACAACAACAAAAAAAUCCAAGCUACUCAACAUUGUCUCUCUAUAUUCUAUCUCCUGUUUAGUUAUAUGUUGGAAUAUUUGGACAUAUCCCUGUAUCUUUUAGCUUUCCUUGAUACUUUCUCCAUCUGUACUUCUAGGCUGAGUAAUGGGAAGCAUGCCUUGCAAUCAUCCCGCUCACAGCUUUGCUCUUAAGCUGUUUGUUUUUUAAUUUAAUGGCUAUAUAUCUACUGUGUCCUUGGGAUAUCAGAUACACUUGCUUGUUAUACCUUUCUUAUAUGGAUUUUUUUCUUUUGAAAAUUUUCUUUGGGUUUUUCUUGAAAUAUUUUGGUGAUUCAUACUUGUAAUUUGUUUAGUUGCUCAUUUUUGUAUUUGAGAGCCUAUUUUUGUGGAUGUUGUUUUGUUUAUCGAAUCCAGUGAUGGGAGGGGCGGGCUGUGCUACCAGGUAAGGAUAUGUCAGUAUUUUUGAUUCUGGGUAUAGGCGUCUCUUCCCUGGUGGGGGCACUGCCCUGCUUCUCCAGCUCCAGUGGCUUCAUGCAAUGUUACAUUAUAGACUGUAUAUAGACACCCUAUCUGCCCCCAAGUCAGCCCAUGGGUGGCGGUUGGAACUUGCCUUGCUAUUCCGUCAGCUCCCUAAUGAGUCUCCCUGCCCAAAAAGAGUCCCUGACCCACCAGCAUCCAUGGGUAUCCUGCUCUGUGCAUCUAUUAAUCCUGGGUUCCAACACAUUCCUCCCUUUGCAGUAGUCUACCUGUUUUGUGUUGUGAUUUCCUCCCAUUUUAUUUGCCUAUAUCUUAGAUCCCAUCUGCUCUCUAUCUUUCUGGCAUUCCCCAAAAUUUCAAUUCCAUUGCUAGCCCUCUCAUUUCUUAGUGCCAAGGCAGAUUUUCAUAUUUUUCCUCUACUUUAGCCCCUUAUGGAAUUUAGGUUUGAAUGAGAUUGUAGAUGUUUCUGUUCCAUAUGCCAUCUUGAUUCAUUCUCACUAAUACCGUGUUAAAAUAACAACAAAAAUGUUUGUAGCCUUCUUCUUAUUUCAGUUAAUUUUCUUGAAGAGAACUAGUGUUGCAGUGGCUCCUGGGCUGGUCCUGUAGUUACAAAAUGUGCUGUACUACUAGCCAUAAACAGGAUUCUUUACAAGGAAUUAUUGAAAUAGCAGCUCUUUUCUCUGCUCCCUAGUAUGCAAAAUUUUGUAAUAAACUUACUGAUACUAAAGAGCAAAUCCUAGCAUUGAAUACUCUCAACGGUCACAAAACAAUAUUCAGUAAUAACCGAUUUUGUUGGCAUUAAAAGAUUAGGGACAAGAGAAUUAUUUUUAAAACUACUCAGUUGGGCAGCAUCGUGGCAGUGGAAGAUGUUCCUCCUGUUGUCCUCCCUUUAAAAUAAUGAAUUAGACAUCAAUCCACAAACGAAAGCACUGUUGUGGGAACAAGCACAAUAUGCCAAGGGACCCAUGAGGAGUCUCACCUACCUGUUAAUCCAGUCACAAGCUCUUGAACGAGCAAAACUGUUCCAAAUCCUCAUGUCCCAUUCCGAAAAAAAGUCUGGAGAGUGCCGACAGGUAAACAUGGGCAGGUAAACAUGGAUAGGAGAAAAUCUGCAGAAAUCCAGACUUCCCACUGGGAGAUACCAGCCCACU
This 5724-nucleotide long non-coding RNA is filed under the name Sus scrofa (pig). RNAcentral's name for it is "lncRNA (ENSSSCG00005035440.1)". Lineage: Eukaryota; Metazoa; Chordata; Mammalia; Artiodactyla; Suidae. The record is from RNAcentral.